GUGGCAUCAUGGGAACUGCUGUACCAGGUCACCUCCUCCGUGCUUACACUGCUGUGAUGCCUACAGGAAACCAACCAGAGAAACAGAGAAUGGCCGUUUUGAGUGCUUCAGACAGUUCUCCGAAAGAGCAGGCUUCUCUAAACCGCAACACAAGGGAUUUGGCAUGCUGAGAUCUCACUGCUUUUGCUUCAGAAAGUGUUAGCCUGAAGUCUACAUCCUGAAAUAAAGAUGAAGGAAGAAAUUAGUGUUUAAAAA
Mauremys mutica (yellowpond turtle) is the source of this 255-nucleotide long non-coding RNA. RefSeq lists it as uncharacterized. The transcript has 2 exons. Lineage: Eukaryota; Metazoa; Chordata; Testudines; Geoemydidae. The record is from RefSeq and is a predicted model, not a curated record.